AGGAAGGUGGGGAUGACGUCAAAUCAUCAUGCCCCUUAUGACCUGGGCUACACACGUGCUACAAUGGCUGGUACAACGAGUCGCAAGUCGGUGACGGCAAGCUAAUCUCUUAAAGCCAGUCUCAGUUCGGAUUGUAGGCUGCAACUCGCCUACAUGAAGUCGGAAUCGCUAGUAAUCGCGGAUCAGCACGCCGCGGUGAAUACGUUCCCGGGCCUUGUACACACCGCCCGUCACACCACGAGAGUUUGUAACACCCGAAGUCGGUGAGGUAACCUUUUAGGAGCCAGCCGCCUAAGGUGGGAUAGAUGAUUGGGGUGAAGUCGUAACAAGGUAGCCGUAUCGGAAGGUGCGGCUGGAUCACCUCCUUUCUAAGGAA
This 376-nucleotide ribosomal RNA is filed under the name Streptococcus suis. RNAcentral describes it as "bacterial SSU rRNA". It matches the Rfam family "Bacterial small subunit ribosomal RNA", at positions 1167 to 1533 of the family's 1533-position model. The record is from RNAcentral. Lineage: Bacteria; Bacillati; Bacillota; Bacilli; Lactobacillales; Streptococcaceae.